RNAcentral lists this transfer RNA (57 nucleotides) under Bos taurus (domestic cattle). It matches the Rfam family "tRNA", at positions 8 to 63 of the family's 71-position model. Rfam says of the family: Transfer RNA (tRNA) molecules are approximately 80 nucleotides in length. Their secondary structure includes four short double-helical elements and three loops (D, anti-codon, and T loops). RNAcentral also lists the same sequence under 1 other name. The record is from Rfam by way of RNAcentral. Lineage: Eukaryota; Metazoa; Chordata; Mammalia; Artiodactyla; Bovidae.
UGGCUUAGAGGGUAAAGUGUCUGCCUGCAAUGCAGGAGACCCAGGUUUGAUCCCUAG